AGCUUUGCGCAGUGGCAGUAUCGUAGCCAAUGAGGUUUAUCCGAGGCACGAUUAUUGCUAAUUGAAAAAAAAAAAAAAUUGACUGGUGUGUAAACUGUGAACUUUCCAGGUACUCUGUGAUUUGACUUGGAAGAC
Molecule: small nuclear RNA, 135 nt
Organism: Manis javanica (Malayan pangolin)
Lineage: Eukaryota; Metazoa; Chordata; Mammalia; Pholidota; Manidae
Product: U4 spliceosomal RNA
Source: RefSeq, a predicted model, not a curated record